GAGUAAUCAAGUACAAUGACUAAGCUGCCUUGGACAGUUCCUGUUUUCUAUUCUGCCUCCCACUUCAUCUCUCCAUCUCCCUGACCACAAGGAUUCAACCACUAACCUGCAUGCAUAUCUGCAUACUGAUGAAGAAAGAAAAAAAGAAAAAAAGAAAAAAAAAAAAAAGGAAAGGAAAGGAAAGAAAAAAGAGAAGGACAAAUUGCAGCAGCAUUAAGUAUAAUCUGAUAGCUGAAUGGAAUGGGGAGUUCCUUGUUCAUCCAGACUGGUCUUCUGCCCUUCUUGCUUGACUUGUGACACAAGAGACUUGCCUGUUCCUGCACUUCUUAUAAGGUGAUUCUCAAAAAAUGACCAACUCUUAUGGACCAGUAAAGCCUCUGGAACAGAUUCCCAGGGGCCACUGCUAACUAGAUCCCUGAGUAGCUUAAAGUUUUCUCCCUUAAUGUCCAGAAUAGUAAUUCUGCCAAUUUUUUUUCUCCUUACACCAAAAAUGUUGAACUCAACUGUUUUAUGAGCACUGUGGCCAGGACAGCCACCUACCACCACCUCUCCCACAAGAUCUUCUCUAUUCUCAAACAGCAAAUUCCUAGUUGUCUCACCCAGUGCUUGUGAUUGGAAGUUACCUUCAACAUGCUUUAGGAAUUUCCCAGGCUUGUUUAUCAUGAAAGGCAAAUAAGAUGACCUUCUUCUCUGAACUGCCUCUGAGGUGGAUGUUGGCGGGAUGUCAGCAGAGGUUGAAUGUUCCCACCAAUAUUCAGUUACACAUUCUUGUCAUGGGACAAAUGGCAGCAGAAGGG
This is a long non-coding RNA of Gallus gallus (chicken), 797 nucleotides long. The record is from Ensembl. NCBI's taxonomy places the organism in Eukaryota, Metazoa, Chordata, Aves, Galliformes, Phasianidae.